Long non-coding RNA from Oryctolagus cuniculus (rabbit), 1908 nucleotides. Lineage: Eukaryota; Metazoa; Chordata; Mammalia; Lagomorpha; Leporidae. The record is from Ensembl.
GCAGGUGCCACGAGGAGGACGCAGAGCACAUUGGUGCCUGGCUCCCCACUCCUCUUCCUGCUGCUGCUGGUACUGCCCCUAACACCGUUUGGUGUGGGGAGCCUCCAACGCCCUGACCUUGGCUGGACAGCUCUUCAUGCACUUAGCCUUGGCUCCAGAAGACUCCAGGAGCCUGAAGAUGGGGCCCUCGCCCGCCAAUGGUACAACAGGAAGCAAGCAUGCAGUCAGUACUUUGACCUCUACUUCAACCUGGAAAAAUCCAUCUAUGUAAAGUCCUGGGAUGCCUUUUACCAGUUUACAAAGGCUGUGGUGGAUAAAGCGAUCAAAAACCCCCAAACACGGAUUUCCUUCAUCACCUACUCCUGCAAGGGCAACAUCAUCCUGAAACUCACCCCUGACAGGCAGAAGCUUCGGAAGGGCUUUAGAAGACUUCAGAACACUGUCUUAGCAGGCUAUAUACAAGCAGACUAUGGUUUUUACAAGGUGAAUGUGCAGCUAACUCAAAGCCGGAAAGAAGGACACUACGGCCCUGUUGUGGUGCUCAACUUCAUCACUCAAGACCUGGGUGACUCCAUAUUUGAAAAUCUCAAGACUGAAAUCGACUAUGCCCGUUCAGCUGGGGCAUCUGUUUACAAUGUGGUGCUGGGCCGUUACAACAAAACACAGGUGGCAGCAUUGGAGGACAGACCCCAAGACACGAUUAAGAUCCAGGGAGGAUUUAACUACAUGCUGGGCGCCGUGGAUGACGUUGUUAAAAUUAUCUGUCCUCAAGGUCUUGUAUUGAAGAACACCACGGUGUGUGCGCAGGAAAAGUACACCGUGCAUAUUCUCGGACAAUUCUCUGGCAUUAGAGACGUGGUCAUCUGCAAGUUCCACAUACCCAACCAGAAGCCUGUCGAUGUCAAAGCCAUCAGUACCAGUGACACCGUAAUAAUGUGCCAGGGGCCUGUUGUAUCGGAACCGUAUCAGGUAGUGACGAUUGAAGUCAGCCUGAACAAUGGGAAAACAUUCAACCCCAGCAAACUCAAAUUGGGCAUCUUCGAUUGUAAUCCUGACUCCACACGGAAGACCACGACUCGGAGGACGACAACGACCACGACCACAACCACCACCACGACGACCACGACGACCACCACCACCACCACGACCACGACGACCACGACCACGACCACCACCACCGGCGACCACCACCACCAACCACCACCACCACCACCGUUCCCAACCACUGUCACAACCACUAUGCCCCCCCACCACGGAUUAUUACAGACGUACAGGAACGACAGCAAGUUCAUUCAUAUCCCCGUCCUGCUUGUUCCUGCCACUGCUCCCGUUGGUACUGUGCUGCUGCAGGGUGCAGGCCCACAGGACUGAAGAGGAGCCACCGCUGCCACCCCCAGAAAAGCCCAAGAAAGUGCCUCCCCCACCACCACCGCCACCACCCCCGCCGCCCCCUGUGACUGUGUGCCCCACGGUGAUCGUCUGCCGCUGUGCCUGCCGGGGGGUGUGCAUGGACAGAGGGCUACAGGGCACCCUGGAUGGCUUCUACAACUACAUCCAGCCCACCUGCCACCCUUCACCGAUGAUGUUGUGCCGGGCCAGGGGCCAGGAGAGGUGGCCCAACCUCGCCCUCAUGAAGGCCCCAAGCAGCUCCAGCCUCUGCCUUCAACCCAGCCUGGAGAGUCACCCCCUCACCUGGUGUUCCCAGUGCCACCACCUCCCAGACAGGUGCGCCAGGCCUUCCGCCAGGACGCUGCCGCUGCCCGCUCCCCAGAAUCAGGCUCUCUGCAGGAGCACCUUGUCCCUGCCUCCCCUGUAGCCCGGCCUCUCGGCACCCACACCCCAGAUGAAGAGGCUUUGCUUGCUGAGUGUGACGUGUGCACGAGUCUUGCUUUAUGGGCAAAGCAGUAG